UGGACAAAUUAUUGUAUUCGACUGUAUUCACGACGUGAAAUAGGGGAUUACAUUGUUUUUAAACGGAAAGUGAAUCAAUUAACAUAAUAGACUCCU
RNAcentral lists this microRNA precursor (96 nucleotides) under Nicotiana sylvestris (wood tobacco). RNAcentral's name for it is "MIR6152 microRNA precursor family". It matches the Rfam family "MIR6152 microRNA precursor family". Lineage: Eukaryota; Viridiplantae; Streptophyta; Magnoliopsida; Solanales; Solanaceae. RNAcentral also lists the same sequence under 1 other name. The record is from Rfam by way of RNAcentral.